UACGAACUGUGCAAACGUUAUUCGGAUUUACUGGGUUUAAAGGGUGUGUAGGCGGGCUUUUAAGUCAGUGGUGAAAUCUCCGGGCUCAACCUGGAAACUGCCAUUGAUACUAUUAGUCUUGAAUUUUGUUGAGGUAGGCGGAAUAAGUCAUGUAGCGGUGAAAUGCAUAGAUAUGACUUAGAACACCAAUUGCGAAGGCAGCUUGCUAAACAAAUAUUGACGCUGAGGCACGAAAGCGUGGGGAUCAAACAGG
This 253-nucleotide ribosomal RNA is filed under the name uncultured bacterium. RNAcentral describes it as "partial 16S ribosomal RNA". It matches the Rfam family "Bacterial small subunit ribosomal RNA", at positions 524 to 776 of the family's 1533-position model. The record is from RNAcentral.